UUCCGCACCUCUUCUGCUCUCUCUCGCUUCACUUUCUCUCAACCCUCUGUGCUCCCUAACUCCUCGUCUCUAUGCUCUCUCUCACCUCUCUACUCUCAGUGACAAAGCCCUCUCUCUCUCUUCUUUUUUUUUUGACAAAGUUUAGAACUUAUUGAUAGCAAAGCAGGUUACAAUAUAGCAGCACCAAGCCCUCUCUCUCUCUCUCUCACAGUGACAAGGCCCUCUCUCUCUCUCUCCUCUCUCCCUUCUCUGCUCUCAGGAGAUUUGGGGUUAGGGUUCGUAUCAGUGCUAAGGUUCGAUGAAUCAGAGCCAGAAUCAGGGUUUGGAUUAGGGUUAGGAUUUUGAGAAUGGCCCUCCGAUGAAGAAGAAGUGGUUGUGGUUUGAGGAGGAGGAGCGAGAAAGGAGACAACACCAUGAAGCUGGCGAGUGAAGGUUUUGGGCAGUUGAGAGAGAUCUUCUUUGAUGCCCUUUGAUGGAGGAGAGGUGGAGUCUAUCGUUCAUUCUACUGAGGAUUGUCAGUCGUCCGUGAAAGGGGAGGCCAGAGACCUUGCAAACCAUGACAUCUCUCUCUCUCUCUCUAUACCUAUAAAAUCAGAAAGGGAAUGGGAUCUGAAGGCUCUCUAUGUUUUUAUCUCUUGAAGAGGAUCCGCUCUCUCUCUAAAAGGGGUGUCCAAAUUCUCUCUCUAGAAACCCUCUCUCUGUUUCUCAAUUCGAGGAGAAGAGGCGAAGCAGAAAAGGGAUCUGAUAAAUGUUUCUUUGCGUUUUGUUUGUUUCGGGGUGCUGGGGCAAAGUGGGCCGCAUGGGGCAUGCUUCACAACACUUUUGGACUUUUCGACAAAUCAAUGAAAUUAAACAUCCAAA
Molecule: long non-coding RNA, 861 nt
Filed under: Amborella trichopoda
Lineage: Eukaryota; Viridiplantae; Streptophyta; Magnoliopsida; Amborellales; Amborellaceae
Description: long non-coding RNA (ATRI_LNC003557)
Source: RNAcentral